UCGCGUCUUACGACGGCAGUUUCAGUAGAGUUCCCAGCGUUACCUGAUGGCAACUACUGAUGGGGGUUGCGCUCGUUGCGGGACUUAACCCAACACCUCACGGCACGAGCUGACGACAGCCAUGCAGCACCUUGCUUUGUGUCCCGAAGGAAAGGUCCAUCUCUGAACCGGUCACGCGCAUUCUAGCCUAGGUAAGGUUCCUCGCGUAUCAUCGAAUUAAGCAACGCGCAGAACCUUACCAGCCCUUGACAUGGGCGUCGCGGGUGGGGAUGACGUACCAAGGUUGGUU
This 289-nucleotide unclassified non-coding RNA is filed under the name uncultured Bacteroidia bacterium. RNAcentral's name for it is "contains 16S-23S intergenic spacer region". The record is from RNAcentral. Lineage: Bacteria; Pseudomonadati; Bacteroidota; Bacteroidia.